GGUUAAGUUGUGUAGGGCGCAUGGUGGAUGCCUUGGUGCCGGAAGCCGAUGAAGGACGUGUGAGGCCGCGAUAGGCCUGGGGGAGUCGCCAGCAGGGCUGUGAUCCCAGGGUGUCCGAAUGGGGAAACCUGGCCGGGUUUGUGCUCGGUCGCUCCCGCUUGAAUGUAUAGGGCGGGUUGUGGUGACGCGGGGAAGUGAAACAUCUCAGUACCCGCUGGAAGAGAAAACAAGUAGUGAUUGUGUGAGUAGUGGUGAGCGAAAGCGCAGGAGGCUAAACUAGGUUCGUGUCAAGGCGGCAGCCGUUGCGGAUCUGGGGUUGUGAGAUGAUGCCGUGAUUUCCUGCCGGGGAUCGGGUGUGUGCUUGGGGUUAGCUGAAGGCGUUGGGAAGCGCUGCCGUAGUGGGUGAGAGUCCCGUAGGUGAAGGCCCUUUUAGUGUGCAUCUGGUGUUGUUCUCGAGUAGUACAGGAUUCGUGGAGUCUUGUGUGAAUCUGCCAGGACCGUCUGGUAAGCCUAAAUACUUCCGGUGACCGAUAGUGGAUAGUACCGUGAGGGAAUGGUGAAAAGUACCCCGGGAGGGGAGUGAAAUAGUUCCUGAAACCAUGUGCUGAUAAUCCGUCAGAGCCUGGCCGUAUGCUUUUGUGUGCGGGGUGGGUGAUGGCGUGCCUUUUGAAGAAUGAGCCUGCGAGUUAAGGUGUGCAGCGAGGUUAACCAGUGUUGGGGAGCCGUAGCGAAAGCGAGUCUGAAUAGGGCGGUUGAGUUGUGCGUUUUAGACCCGAAGCGGAGUGAUCUACCCAUGUCCAGGGUGAAGCGGCUGUAAGAGGUCGUGGAGGCCCGAACCCACUUAGGUUGAAAACUGAGGGGAUGAGGUGUGGGUAGGGGUGAAAGGCCAAUCAAACUCCGUGAUAGCUGGUUCUCCCCGAAAUGCAUUUAGGUGCAGCGUCAUACCUAGCUUGGUUGUGGUAGAGCUCUGGUUGGUUAAUGGGCCUUAUUGGUUACUGAGAUCAGCUAAACUGCGAAUGCGACUAAGUGGUGGGUGGCAGUGAGACUGUGGGGGAUAAGCUUCAUAGUCGAGAGGGAAACAGCCCAGAUCACCGGCUAAGGCCCCUAAGGGUGUGCUAAGUGGGAAAGGAUGUGUGGUCGCGUAGACAGCCAGGAGGUUGGCUUAGAAGCAGCCAUCCUUGAAAGAGUGCGUAAUAGCUCACUGGUCGAGUGGUUUCGCGCCGAUAAUGUAGCGGGGCUAAGCACACCGCCGAAGCCGUGGCAAAUACAGUCAUCCAUGUGGUGGCUGGUUUGGGUAGGGGAGCGUCCUGCGUGUGGUGAAGCAGUUCUGUGAGGAGCUGUGGAAUGCGUGGGAGUGAGAAUGCAGGCAUGAGUAGCGAUUUGGAGGGUGAGAAUCCCUCCCGCCGAUUGACUAAGGGUUCCAGAGGACGGCUGUUCCGCUCUGGGUUAGUCGGGGCCUAAGGCGAGGCCGAAAGGCGUAGUCGAUGGAUAACCGGUUGAUAUUCCGGUACCCGCGUUGUGCGUAUAGUGCGAACGGGAUUGUGCUAACUGGCAUGUGCGCGGCUUCUGCUGCCCUUUGGGUGGUGGGGGUUGUUGUGUGUGUUAGGGUCCCUUUCCUUAGUAGUGUAGUGAUGGGGUGACGCAGUGGGGUAGCUAUACCGUCUGGUGGAAUAGGCGGGGCAAGGUGGUAGCCCGUGUUCCUAGGUAAAUCCGGGAAUGCAGCGGUGGUGACAUCGCAGGGUGAGCGCUGAUGCAUAGCCAUAUGUGGUGAAUGUAGUGAUCCCGUGCUGUCGAGAAAAGCCUCUAGCGAGUGCGAUGCGGCCCGUACCCUAAACCGACACAGGUAGUCAGGUAGAGCAUACUGAGGCGUUCGGGUGAACUGUGGUUAAGGAACUCGGCAAAUUGCCCCCGUAACUUCGGGAGAAGGGGGGCCAUCACUGGUUGGGCAUGCGCCUAGAUGCUGGUGGUGGUCGCAGUGAAGCGGAGGAAGCGACUGUUUACUAAAAACACAGGUCCAUGCGAAGAAGUAAUUUGAUGUAUAUGGACUGACGCCUGCCCGGUGCUGGAACGUUAAGAGGAUCCAUUAAGACUUUCGGGUCUGUCGUGGUGAAUUGAAGCGCCAGUAAACGGCGGUGGUAACUAUAACCAUCCUAAGGUAGCGAAAUUCCUUGUCGGGUAAGUUCCGACCUGCACGAAUGGCGUAACGACUUCCUCGCUGUCUCAACCACAGGCCCGGCGAAAUUGCAAUACGAGUAAAGAUGCUCGUUUCGCGCGGCAGGACGAAAAGACCCCGGGACCUUUACUAUAGCUUGGUAUUGGUGUUUGAGGCUUCUUGUGUAGGAUAGGUGGGAAACUGUGAAGCAGCCACGCUAGUGGUUGUGGAGUUAUUGGUGAAAUACCACUCUGGUUGUCUUAGGCGUCUAACCUACGACCCUUAUCGGGUUGAGGGACAGUGCCUGGUGGGUAGUUUAACUGGGGCGGUUGCCUCCUAAAUGGUAACGGAGGCGCCCAAAGGUACCCUCGGGCUGGUUGGAAACCAGUCGGUGAGUGUAAGCGUAUAAGGGUGCUUGACUGUGAGACGGACGUGUCGAGCAGGUACGAAAGUAGGGGCUAGUGAUCCGGCACCAACGUACGGAUGUGGUGUCGCUUAACGGAUAAAAGGUACCCCGGGGAUAACAGGCUGAUCUUCCCCAAGAGUCCAUAUCGACGGGAUGGUUUGGCACCUCGAUGUCGGCUCGUCGCAUCCUGGGGCUGGAGCAGGUCCCAAGGGUUGGGCUGUUCGCCCAUUAAAGCGGCACGCGAGCUGGGUUUAGAACGUCGUGAGACAGUUCGGUCUCUAUCCGCCGCGCGCGUAGGAAACUUGAUGAAGGGCUGUCCCUAGUACGAGAGGACCGGGAUGGACAAACCGCUGGUGUGCCAGUUGUUCCGCCAGGGGCAUGGCUGGUUGGCUACGUUUGGGAAGGAUAACCGCUGAAAGCAUCUAAGCGGGAAGCCUGCUUCGAGAUGAGGUUUCCGUCCCACCAUAGGUGGGGAGAGGCCCCCAGAAGAUGACUGGGUUGAUAGGCCAGAAGUGGAAGCACAGCAAUGUGUGGAGCUGACUGGUACUAAUAGGCCGAGAACUUAACACA
This 3128-nucleotide ribosomal RNA is filed under the name Natronoglycomyces albus. RNAcentral's name for it is "Bacterial large subunit ribosomal RNA". It matches the Rfam family "Bacterial large subunit ribosomal RNA". Lineage: Bacteria; Bacillati; Actinomycetota; Actinomycetes; Glycomycetales; Glycomycetaceae. The record is from Rfam by way of RNAcentral.